Molecule: ribosomal RNA, 101 nt
Filed under: uncultured Synechococcus sp.
Lineage: Bacteria; Bacillati; Cyanobacteriota; Cyanophyceae; Synechococcales; Synechococcaceae
Description: partial 23S ribosomal RNA
Source: RNAcentral
GUCAGCUACAAGGGCUCACGGUGGAUACCUGCACACAGAGGCGAUGAGACGUGGUACUGGCGAUAGUCUCGGGGAGCUGGAACACGCUUUGAUCCGGGAUU